Molecule: long non-coding RNA, 1245 nt
Organism: Zeugodacus cucurbitae (melon fly)
Lineage: Eukaryota; Metazoa; Arthropoda; Insecta; Diptera; Tephritidae
Exons: 4
Source: RefSeq, a predicted model, not a curated record
UAUUCAAGUGACACAAAUUUUAAAGUAAAUUUUUUUACUUUUUCAUUAAAACAUCCCAUAUAAACCUAAUUAUGAAAGGUAUAUUUUUCAUUUUCACAGCAUUUGUUCAAAAAGACCUAUAAUAGGGAGACGAAUUUUUUUCCGUGAUCCCUACAAGACGGAGGUAACUCAUACACCACUACACAUGCAAAUUUUUUCAGCUUUUACCAAUACAUACACAUUGCUAACAUUUUGUAGCUAAGUGGCAAUCUCAGUAGUUAGAGUAGCAAAAUUCAUUAACCCUAAUAUUUGUAUGUGAUACAAUGAACCGUUCAAAAAUCGCCGACAUGGCCACUGUUCAUUUGAAAAUAAAAUUUUAAGUGAAUGGAUAUAAGUAUACGUGUGUGCACAGCAAAGUAGGAGCAAGGAGGUGACGGUGAAAUUGGUGGAGAUAUUGAAAAGACAAAUCUUCUUCUGCUUACGCGGUUAUAGCCGAGUCCACAACAACGCGCCACGCAUCUCUCCUUUUGUUAACAAUUGAACAACAUGACCAAGCCCGCGUAGCCGCUGUCUUUUUAUUCGCUGGACUAUGCCUAUGUCGUCGAACAACACAUACAGCUCAUCAUUUCAUCUUCUGCGGUAUUCGCCGUUGCCAAUGUUCAAGGGACCAUAAAUCUUCCGCAAAACCUUUGGAUGUUAACACCGUCCACGCUUCUGCACCAUAAAGUAGGACGGGAAUGAUGAGGGACUUGUAGAGUUUAGUUUUUUCUCAUCGAGAGAGGACUUUACAUUUCAAUUGCAUAAACACAAAUACUUUGCACAAAUGGAGGAUUACAAUAGCUACAACUUUUCUUAGGCAUGAUAAACAAGACAACAACAAAUCCCAUCGGACAUUUAGAUUCGCAGUUGCACAACCUCUUUCCGACGAGCUGAACCCUUUUAUGAUGUACAUAUGAGAUAGGAUUGUGUGGAAUUGACAUCAAACAAUAUUGGUUGAGUAGUUUCGUUGGAACCUUACAGAAUAGUUAUAAGGAAAUCGUUGGCGUUUAGUACUAAUGUAUUCAUUUUGAAUUAUGAAUUGAUAUAAAUUAUGAAUUAGAUUUAAAUGUAAAAUAUUGUUAUAUUAUACAAAUGAAUGUUCGAAUACUAAUAACAGAUACAAUAAAUGAUAGCUGCAAACGUUUGUAAAAAUUAAAGUUCACUUUGUACUGAAAUGCUAAUAUUUAAAAAUUAAUCUAUAAUGAUUAUUAAAAAUUUAAAAUAUUA